This 395-nucleotide unclassified non-coding RNA is filed under the name Babingtonia cherticola. RNAcentral describes it as "partial external transcribed spacer". The record is from RNAcentral. Lineage: Eukaryota; Viridiplantae; Streptophyta; Magnoliopsida; Myrtales; Myrtaceae.
CCCCACUUUCAAUCAGUCAUUGCUCCACGAGCUAACGUUGGAUGCAAGAUGAUGGGUUCCUGUGCCGCAUACCUAAUGAAAUGGAAAUCCGACYCUUUGGUUGUCCCUUCCAUCCGUGCGUCCUAAGGGAUGCUCGGUUGGACUUGAGAUAGAGGGCUCGUGGUCCACGGAGAUCGCACGCGAUCGUCCCGAUGGAUCUCGAGCGCCUUCUUGUCCUCUCGGAUGCGGAAAGUCCCUCAYGUGCGUGGGUCAUCGGCCCUCGUUCCCGAACSCYGAAGCGUCUAUCGCUUCAUACCGGAAUGACGCUCUGGCCUUGCCCUUGAUCACGUGGAGCGCUCUCGGGCGACCACAAGGAUCAUGCUCGGCGGACGUCGUGAAGGAAUGCUACCUGGUUG